CACGGAGGGCGCAAGCGUUGUCCGGAAUUAUUGGGCGUAAAGAGCUCGUAGGCGGUCUGUUGCGUCCGCUGUGAAAACUCGGGGCUUAACCCCGAGCCUGCAGUGGAUACGGGCAGACUAGAGGUAGGUAGGGGAGAAUGGAAUUCCCGGUGUAGCGGUGAAAUGCGCAGAUAUCGGGAGGAACACCGGUGGCGAAGGCGGUUCUCUGGGCCUUAACUGACGCUGAGGAGCGAAAGCGUGGGGAGCGAACAGG
RNAcentral lists this ribosomal RNA (253 nucleotides) under uncultured bacterium. Its description in RNAcentral is "partial 16S ribosomal RNA". It matches the Rfam family "Bacterial small subunit ribosomal RNA", at positions 524 to 776 of the family's 1533-position model. The record is from RNAcentral.